CUAUCAACUAGAUGGUAGUAUAUAGGACUACCAUGGUUGUAACGGGUAACGGAGGAUUAGGGUUUGAUUCCGGAGAAGGAGCAUGAGAAACGGCUACUAUUUCUAAGGAAAGCAGCAGGCGCGCAAAUUAUUCAAUGGAAACAAUUUUCCGAAGUAGUGACAAAAAAUAUCAAUGCUGGAUACUAUGUAUCUAGUAAUUGGAAUGAGUACAAUUUAAAUCCCUUAACAAGUAACAAUUAGAGGGCAAGUCUGGUGCCAGCAGCCGCGGUAAUUCCAGCUCUAAUAGCGUAUAUUAAUAUUGUUGCAGUUAAAAAGCUCGUAGUUGAAAUUUGGGACUUUAUUAUAUUGGUUUAUCUUUUGAUGAACUGUAUAAUGGGUUUCUUCCUACUAGAAUUCGAUUCUGUUCUUAAUUGAAUGGAGUAGCUAUCUCUCGGGGUGGUCAGUUGGUUGUUAUGCCUCCACUAAUGAGCAGAGAGGAGUAAAAUCUUCAAAGUGAGUUAUGUGGGUCAAGGUAUAGUGAUGAAUUGGAGUUCUAGUUCAUUUACUUUGAGAAAAUUAGAGUGUUUAAAGCAGCCUCUUGGGGCACUGAAUACAUUAGCAUGGGAUAAUAAAAUAGGAUCUUCACAAUAUAUUUUAUUGGUUUAAAUUGCGUAUGAAGAUAAUGAUUAAUAGGGACAGUUGGGGGUAUUCAUAUUGGGUGGUUAGCGGUGAAAUGCUCGGAUCCAUUCAAGAUGAACUAAAGCGAAAGCAUUUACCAAGGAUGUUUUCAUUAAUCAAGAACGAAAGUUAAGGGAUCGAAGACGAUUAGAUACCGUCGUAGUCUUAACUAUAAACUAUGCCGACCAGGGAUAUGAGUGUUAGGAUAUAUGAAAGUAUAUCAAUUUCUUCUAUGGACUGUGAGAAAUCAUAAGUUUUGGGUUCUGGGGGGAGUAUGUCGCAAGCUGAAACUUAAGGAAUGACGGAGGGGCACCACAGAAUGGAGCGGCGGCUUAUUGGAGCUCAACACCGCAAACUUACAGUCGAACGUGAAAAGAUGCAAGAUUAUGCCCUCCUGAAUUGAUGGUGGGUGCACGCCGUUC
This 1079-nucleotide ribosomal RNA is filed under the name Vannella persistens. RNAcentral describes it as "bacterial SSU rRNA". It matches the Rfam family "Eukaryotic small subunit ribosomal RNA", at positions 312 to 1293 of the family's 1831-position model. Lineage: Eukaryota; Discosea; Flabellinia; Vannellidae. The record is from RNAcentral.